Engraulis encrasicolus (European anchovy) is the source of this 456-nucleotide long non-coding RNA. RefSeq lists it as uncharacterized. The transcript is spliced from 3 exons. The record is from RefSeq and is a predicted model, not a curated record. Lineage: Eukaryota; Metazoa; Chordata; Actinopteri; Clupeiformes; Engraulidae.
AAGGUCACAUAAGUUGGCCAUAAGUUGUAUGGUGCACCAGCUUUUGUUGUGCGGAGGUUGAUAAGAAAGUAGCCUUGUCGACAACAAGCUUCGGCCUUAACCGGAUUUUUAGGCCUACUUCAGUUCACGACCAAUGAGGCAAUGAGGUGCACCAGAGGGUAAAGGGCUAUGGGUGCACUCACUGUGUAGGAUUGUGGCCAAACUUGCCAAUCGCUGAAGUCCAUCAACCCAGCAAAGGAAAUGCUGCUGCAGCUGAUAAUGUGUGGAGGAAGAUGUCCAACUUGGCUGCACUCUCUUUAAACCCGAGUGGGUCACAAGUAUGUGGAGUUGUCUUUCAAAACAAGUGAUUGGAGGAAGUCUACCCAUGUAGCACUGCCGUAAACUAAAUAGACUAUGCCAGAGUGUAUUAACUUUUAAUUCAUCCUCCUCACAUGCAAUCAUUUAAUUAUCUGAAUA